This 1488-nucleotide ribosomal RNA is filed under the name Limosilactobacillus fermentum. RNAcentral's name for it is "bacterial SSU rRNA". It matches the Rfam family "Bacterial small subunit ribosomal RNA". Lineage: Bacteria; Bacillati; Bacillota; Bacilli; Lactobacillales; Lactobacillaceae. The record is from RNAcentral.
CACGGGCCGGGUUGGCUUAAUAAUGCAAGUCGAACGCGUUGGCCCAAUUGAUUGAUGGUGCUUGCACCUGAUUGAUUUUGGUCGCCAACGAGUGGCGGACGGGUGAGUAACACGUAGGUAACCUGCCCAGAAGCGGGGGACAACAUUUGGAAACAGAUGCUAAUACCGCAUAACAGCGUUGUUCGCAUGAACAACGCUUAAAAGAUGGCUUCUCGCUAUCACUUCUGGAUGGACCUGCGGUGCAUUAGCUUGUUGGUGGGGUAACGGCCUACCAAGGCGAUGAUGCAUAGCCGAGUUGAGAGACUGAUCGGCCACAAUGGGACUGAGACACGGCCCAUACUCCUACGGGAGGCAGCAGUAGGGAAUCUUCCACAAUGGGCGCAAGCCUGAUGGAGCAACACCGCGUGAGUGAAGAAGGGUUUCGGCUCGUAAAGCUCUGUUGUUAAAGAAGAACACGUAUGAGAGUAACUGUUCAUACGUUGACGGUAUUUAACCAGAAAGUCACGGCUAACUACGUGCCAGCAGCCGCGGUAAUACGUAGGUGGCAAGCGUUAUCCGGAUUUAUUGGGCGUAAAGAGAGUGCAGGCGGUUUUCUAAGUCUGAUGUGAAAGCCUUCGGCUUAACCGGAGAAGUGCAUCGGAAACUGGAUAACUUGAGUGCAGAAGAGGGUAGUGGAACUCCAUGUGUAGCGGUGGAAUGCGUAGAUAUAUGGAAGAACACCAGUGGCGAAGGCGGCUACCUGGUCUGCAACUGACGCUGAGACUCGAAAGCAUGGGUAGCGAACAGGAUUAGAUACCCUGGUAGUCCAUGCCGUAAACGAUGAGUGCUAGGUGUUGGAGGGUUUCCGCCCUUCAGUGCCGGAGCUAACGCAUUAAGCACUCCGCCUGGGGAGUACGACCGCAAGGUUGAAACUCAAAGGAAUUGACGGGGGCCCGCACAAGCGGUGGAGCAUGUGGUUUAAUUCGAAGCUACGCGAAGAACCUUACCAGGUCUUGACAUCUUGCGCCAACCCUAGAGAUAGGGCGUUUCCUUCGGGAACGCAAUGACAGGUGGUGCAUGGUCGUCGUCAGCUCGUGUCGUGAGAUGUUGGGUUAAGUCCCGCAACGAGCGCAACCCUUGUUACUAGUUGCCAGCAUUAAGUUGGGCACUCUAGUGAGACUGCCGGUGACAAACCGGAGGAAGGUGGGGACGACGUCAGAUCAUCAUGCCCCUUAUGACCUGGGCUACACACGUGCUACAAUGGACGGUACAACGAGUCGCGAACUCGCGAGGGCAAGCAAAUCUCUUAAAACCGUUCUCAGUUCGGACUGCAGGCUGCAACUCGCCUGCACGAAGUCGGAAUCGCUAGUAAUCGCGGAUCAGCAUGCCGCGGUGAAUACGUUCCCGGGCCUUGUACACACCGCCCGUCACACCAUGAGAGUUUGUAACACCCAAAGUCGGUGGGGUAACCUUUUAGGAGCCAGCCGCCUAAAGGUUGGCCAGGUUUUG